CUUGCUAGAUGCAGUCUAAGUGGCGCACGGGUGAGUAAUGUAUAGCUAANGUGCCCCUUGGAGGGGGAUAACAGUUGGAAACGGCUAGCUAAUACCCCAUACUCCUUCAUUCUUAAUGAGUGAAGGGAAAGUUUUUUCGCCAAGGGAUCAGGCUAUAUGGUAUCAGCUAGUUGGUGAGGUAACGGCUCACCAAGGCAAUGACGCCUAACUGGUCUGAGAGGAUGAUCAGUCACACUGGAACUGAGACACGGUCCAGACUCCUACGGGAGGCAGCAGUGGGGAAUAUUGCACAAUGGAGGAAACUCUGAUGCAGCAACGCCGCGUGGAGGAUGACGCAUUUCGGUGUGUAAACUCCUUUUAUAUAGGAAGAUAAUGACGGUACUAUAUGAAUAAGCACCGGCUAACUCCGUGCC
RNAcentral lists this ribosomal RNA (413 nucleotides) under uncultured bacterium. RNAcentral describes it as "bacterial SSU rRNA". It matches the Rfam family "Bacterial small subunit ribosomal RNA", at positions 76 to 509 of the family's 1533-position model. The record is from RNAcentral.